AUUGAACGCUGGCGGCGUGCUUUACACAUGCAAGUCGAACGGUAACAGGCCUUCGGGUGCUGACGAGUGGCGAACGGGUGAGUAAUGCAUCGGAACGUACCCAGAGGUGGGGGAUAACGCAGCGAAAGCUGUGCUAAUACCGCAUGUGAUCUGAGGAUGAAAGCGGGGGACCGAGCAGCAAUGUUUGGCCUCGCGCCUUUGGAGCGGCCGAUGUCGGAUUAGCUAGUUGGUGGGGUAAAGGCCUACCGAGGCGACGAUCCGUAGCUGGUCUGAGAGGACGACCAGCCACACUGGGACUGAGACACGGCCCAGACUCCUACGGGAGGCAGCAGUGGGGAAUUUUGGACAAAGGGCGCAAGCCUGAUCCAGCAAUGCCGCGUGCGGGAAGAAGGCCUUCGGGUUGUAAACCGCUUUUGGCAGGAACGAAACGGUGUCCGCUAAUACCGGGCGCUAAUGACGGUACCUGCAGAAUAAGCACCGGCUAACUACGUG
RNAcentral lists this ribosomal RNA (492 nucleotides) under uncultured bacterium. Its description in RNAcentral is "partial 16S ribosomal RNA". It matches the Rfam family "Bacterial small subunit ribosomal RNA", at positions 29 to 507 of the family's 1533-position model. The record is from RNAcentral.